AGGGAAUCUUCCGCAAUGGACGAAAGUCUGACGGAGCAACGCCGCGUGAGUGAUGAAGGUUUUCGGAUCGUAAAACUCUGUUGUUAGGGAAGAACAAGUACCGGAGUAACUGCCGGUACCUUGACGGUACCUAACCAGAAAGCCACGGCUAACUACGUGCCAGCAGCCGCGGUAAUACGUAGGUGGCAAGCGUUGUCCGGAAUUAUUGGGCGUAAAGCGCGCGCAGGCGGUCUCUUAAGUCUGAUGUGAAAGCCCCCGGCUCAACCGGGGAGGGUCAUUGGAAACUGGGAGACUUGAGUGCAGAAGAGAAGAGUGGAAUUCCACGUGUAGCGGUGAAAUGCGUAGAGAUGUGGAGGAACACCAGUGGCGAAGGCGACUCUUUGGUCUGUAACUGACGCUGAGGCGCGAAAGCGUGGGGAGCAAAC
Molecule: ribosomal RNA, 425 nt
Filed under: uncultured bacterium
Lineage: Bacteria
Description: bacterial SSU rRNA
Rfam family: Bacterial small subunit ribosomal RNA
Source: RNAcentral